GGAGGGGGAACAAAUAUCCCCUAGCUCCUCUAGCUUUCUCUCUUUCUUGUAGGGAUAAAUAAUUGCCCUCCGUAGUUGAUUUAAUCCCCUACUUAAGGUAGGCUUAAAUAUGUUUUGAAGGCGAUUUAUUUUACUUUCCUAGAAAAAUCUAAUUCCAAGUCCAAGUGGGAAAAGUUGGAGAUCUCUACACCUACUGUCUUUUCCUAUGAGUAGGCCAGCAGGUGUGGGGGCAUUUGUGGAGCCAAAAAUAAUCAAGAAAAAUAUGUAGGUGACACGCAGACUUUUGGGUUAAAAUGAAAAAAUUACCCUCGAGGCACACCGGGAUUCCCACGUGCAUGCAACGAACAAUAACGGCUCAAUCAAGGAAGAGUCAAAGAUGAUCAAAAUGGUAUUUAUUCAAAUCCCUCUCAUCACUCCUCAUCAAAUCCUUAUUCAAAAGGUAACUCCCAAAACUUCCUAUUUAAUUUGGGAUUAAUUACCAUGUUAAUUGCAAGAUAUUAUUUCACAUAAUAUCUUGCAAUUAGUCUCCAAUUACACCAUAUAUGGCCAGCCACUAUUCUCCAAAUAGGGUCAGCCACUCCCCUAUAUAUAGCCCUAUUAUUCCACUAAAAAGCUAAGCCAUUUGCUACCCACAAACUCCUAAACACAAAAAUUCAUCAUGGGCGCGUGAGGCUGUUGGCCUUAAUGUUAGGUGUUAUUACUUUGCAGGUGCAUUUUCUUCAAGGGAGAAGAUGGCGGAAAUUUGUAUCCACAACUAAGAUUUAAAAAACCAAAAAGACCCUGCAAUUAAAAGAAACCAAUUAUCAACUUUUCCAUCAGCAAGUAGUUGUAAAUUGCUUGUCUUGAUUCGAAGAAUUACAGAAAUAUUGUUGUAGCUAGUUCACUUUUUCACAUUACCAACUUUUACAUCGUGAGUUCUAAACUUAAAACAUGAUAGAAAAUAAACUAAAGAAAAUGAAAUUUCAACAUACCUAUCAAAACAUUUUUAAUCAUCUUCAAGAGCCACAACAUCAUUAGUGG
Molecule: long non-coding RNA, 1020 nt
Filed under: Malus domestica (apple)
Lineage: Eukaryota; Viridiplantae; Streptophyta; Magnoliopsida; Rosales; Rosaceae
Description: long non-coding RNA (MDOM_LNC010819)
Source: RNAcentral